AGGACGAACGCUGGCGGCGUGCUUAACACAUGCAAGUCGAACGAUGAACCACUUCGGUGGGGAUUAGUGGCGAACGGGUGAGUAACACGUGGGCAAUCUGCCCUGCACUCUGGGACAAGCCCUGGAAACGGGGUCUAAUACCGGAUAAUACCUCUGGGCGCAUGCCCGGGGGUUGAAAGCUCCGGCGGUGCAGGAUGAGCCCGCGGCCUAUCAGCUUGUUGGUGGGGUGAUGGCCUACCAAGGCGACGACGGGUA
This 255-nucleotide ribosomal RNA is filed under the name uncultured bacterium. RNAcentral's name for it is "partial small subunit ribosomal RNA". It matches the Rfam family "Bacterial small subunit ribosomal RNA", at positions 26 to 285 of the family's 1533-position model. The record is from RNAcentral.